Molecule: ribosomal RNA, 487 nt
Filed under: uncultured bacterium
Lineage: Bacteria
Description: bacterial SSU rRNA
Rfam family: Bacterial small subunit ribosomal RNA
Source: RNAcentral
GACGAACGCUGGCGGCGUGGAUUAGGCAUGCAAGUCGAACGGUAUCAUCCUUUCGGGGGUGAGAGAGUGGCGAACUGGUGAGUAACACGUAGGUUAUCUACCCUCAAGACGGGGACAACCCAGGGAAACUUGGGCUAAUACCGGAUGUGAGCAACUUUUAGUUGUUUGAAAGGUGGCGUAAGCUGUCGCUUGGGGAUGAGCCUGCGCCCUAUUAGUUAGUUGGUGAGGUAACGGCUCACCUAGGCAAUGAUAGGUAGGCGGCCUUAACGGGUGGUCGCCCACACUGGGAUUGAGAUACGGCCCAGACUCCUACGGGAGGCAGCAGUCGAGAAUAGUCUACAAUGGUCGGAAGACUGAUAGUGCGACGCCGCGUGAACGAUGAAUCCCUUCGGGGUGUAAAGUUCUUUUAUAUGUGAGCAGUGCUUCUUAUAUUAACAGUAUGGGGAGAGAGAUAUUAGCAUAUGAAUAAGCAACGGCUAACUCCGUG